Molecule: long non-coding RNA, 788 nt
Organism: Gallus gallus (chicken)
Lineage: Eukaryota; Metazoa; Chordata; Aves; Galliformes; Phasianidae
Source: Ensembl
ACUGUCAUUUCCUAUUUUUUCUUUCACUAUUUCAGGGCAUGAACAUGGAUUUUCUUUCUUUAAAAUAUUCAAAUGGAAAAAAAGGACUUGAAAUCCUAAGAUUCCUGUUCACCGAGGAGAUGUUUCCUACUCAGACUGCUGAUGCACAGCUAUUCACAUCUGGAGAAAAAGGAUGACAAGAAUUGCAUUCACUCUUCAUGUGACAACUCACAGCUGAAAGAAUCUCAAGUAUUUUUUGGGAAUCUACAUAUCAAGAAUAAUAAAAAUUGCAAGAAAACUCAUGAGGGAGCGCAGAAGGAAGAAGGAAUAUAUGAACAAGUCUCCACACAGCAAAUAUCACCUCCAGUCAUAUUCAUACAAGAUAACGAGAUGACCCCUCUGCCACUUUCCUUCAAAGUUGAAACAGAGAUUUCCUUCUCGGUGGGCCCACAGCCCCUUGAGGAUGGGGAGAGUCAGCAUGAAUCUGGGACUUAACAGAAGUGCUGAACAGAGAAAGGACAAGCAAGGCCAAUGCACCCAAAGCACAACGCUCAAACCAAACAUCUCCCUGGAAAAUCCAGACUCAAUCUACUUGUGUUAACACAGCUAAAGUCAUGAACGAGCCUGUAUUAUUAACACAUUGGCAUAAUAUGUAAGCCAAUAUUGAAUUUAAUGAAAAGAAAGCAUUUGAAAGCUUUUUGUUUUUCCUUCUUUAUUCUAGUUAAGUCUGAGAACAAAGCUUCCUUUCUUCUAACUUUUUGUCCCCAUGCUGUCAAAAUGAGUCAGUCAAAUACCUAAUUUUCUUACAG